This 253-nucleotide ribosomal RNA is filed under the name uncultured bacterium. RNAcentral's name for it is "partial 16S ribosomal RNA". It matches the Rfam family "Bacterial small subunit ribosomal RNA", at positions 524 to 776 of the family's 1533-position model. The record is from RNAcentral.
UACGAAGGGGGCUAGCGUUGUUCGGAAUUACUGGGCGUAAAGCGCACGUAGGCGGAUCGAUCAGUCAGGGGUGAAAUCCCAGGGCUCAACCCUGGAACUGCCUUUGAUACUGUCGAUCUGGAGUAUGGAAGAGGUGAGUGGAAUUCCGAGUGUAGAGGUGAAAUUCGUAGAUAUUCGGAGGAACACCAGAAGCGAAGGCGGCUCACUGGCCCGAUACUGACGCUGAGGCGCGAAAGCGUGGGGAGCAAACAGG